Molecule: ribosomal RNA, 253 nt
Filed under: uncultured bacterium
Lineage: Bacteria
Description: partial 16S ribosomal RNA
Rfam family: Bacterial small subunit ribosomal RNA
Source: RNAcentral
GACAGAGGGUGCAAACGUUGUUCGGAAUUACUGGGCGUAAAGCGCGUGUAGGCGGUCUGUCGCGUCUGCUGUGAAAACUCAGGGCUUAACCCUGAGCUUGCAGUGGGUACGGGCAGACUAGAGUGCGGUAGGGGUGACUGGAAUUCCUGGUGUAGCGGUGGAAUGCGCAGAUAUCAGGAGGAACACCGAUGGCGAAGGCAGGUCACUGGGACGUUACUGACACUGAGGCGCGAAAGCGUGGGGAGCGAACAGG